Pan paniscus (pygmy chimpanzee) is the source of this 428-nucleotide long non-coding RNA. NCBI's taxonomy places the organism in Eukaryota, Metazoa, Chordata, Mammalia, Primates, Hominidae. The record is from Ensembl.
CGAAAGUGACUUCAGAGGUCUCAGUCCAAGCCACUCCUUCAUCAUUUCCUCUCAUUAAACAGAACAUGGUUUGACUGCAGGAACAAAAGUUGGCCAAAAGAAAGGACAAUUCAUGAAAAGAGAUAAGACAAAUGCACAGACUGAGAUAGAAGCCAUUCCCCCAAGCGCAGAGUCAGACCUUCCAUUUGGACCAAACAAGAUCACCUCUGAACCAAUAAUAUCCGUCAAAAGCUGUUCCCCUCAUCAAUGGAGUCUGAAUAAGUACAUUUUUGUGGAUCAAACAAAAGCUCUCAGAAGGAGAAACUCUGGUAGAAGGAGGUAGUCAUACCUUUAUAUUUACCUUGUAAGCUUUUGCAACUCCGUGGUGCUACUUCGACAGCCUCAUCCUCUGUUUUCCAACAUGAAAUUAUUCCUGUGAGGUCAGUGUU